GGCGAACGCUGGCGGCGUGCUUAACACAUGCAAGUCGAACGAAGAGCGAUGGAAGCUUGCUUCUAUCAAUCUUAGUGGCGAACGGGUGAGUAACGCGUAAUCAACCUGCCCUUCAGAGGGGGACAACAGUUGGAAACGACUGCUAAUACCGCAUACGAUCUAAUCUCGGCAUCGAGGAUAGAUGAAAGGUGGCCUCUACAUGUAAGCUAUCACUGAAGGAGGGGAUUGCGUCUGAUUAGCUAGUUGGAGGGGUAACGGCCCACCAAGGCGAUGAUCAGUAGCCGGUCUGGGAGGAUGAACGGCCACAUUGGGACUGAGACACGGCCCAGACUCCUACGGGAGGCAGCAGUGGGGAAUCUUCCGCAAUGGACGAAAGUCUGACGGAGCAACGCCGCGGGAGUGAUGACGGCCUUCGGGUUGUAAAGCUCUGUUAAUCGGGACGAAAGGCCUUCUUGCGAAUAGUGAGAAGGAUUGACGGUACCGGAAGAGAAAGCCACGGCUAACUACGUG
RNAcentral lists this ribosomal RNA (510 nucleotides) under uncultured bacterium. RNAcentral describes it as "partial 16S ribosomal RNA". It matches the Rfam family "Bacterial small subunit ribosomal RNA", at positions 28 to 507 of the family's 1533-position model. The record is from RNAcentral.